RNAcentral lists this ribosomal RNA (492 nucleotides) under uncultured bacterium. RNAcentral's name for it is "partial 16S ribosomal RNA". It matches the Rfam family "Bacterial small subunit ribosomal RNA", at positions 29 to 507 of the family's 1533-position model. The record is from RNAcentral.
AGUGAACGCUGGCGGUAGGCCUAACACAUGCAAGUCGAACGGCAGCACAGUAAGAGCUUGCUCUUACGGGUGGCGAGUGGCGGACGGGUGAGGAAUACAUCGGAAUCUACUUUUUCGUGGGGGAUAACGUAGGGAAACUUACGCUAAUACCGCAUACGACCUACGGGUGAAAGCAGGGGAUCUUCGGACCUUGCGCGAUUGAAUGAGCCGAUGUCGGAUUAGCUAGUUGGCGGGGUAAAGGCCCACCAAGGCGACGAUCCGUAGCUGGUCUGAGAGGAUGACCAGCCACAAUGGGAAUGAGACACGGCCCAGACUCCUACGGGAGGCAGCAGUGGGGAAUUUUGGACAAUGGGGGCAACCCUGAUCCAGCCAUGCCGCGUGGGGGAAGAAGGCCUUCGGGUUGUAAACCCCUUUUGUGGGGAAAGAAAGCCGGAGGGCUAAUCCCCCGGGGUUAUGACGGUACCGAAAGAAUAAGCACCGGCUAACUACGUG